This 502-nucleotide ribosomal RNA is filed under the name uncultured bacterium. RNAcentral's name for it is "partial 16S ribosomal RNA". It matches the Rfam family "Bacterial small subunit ribosomal RNA", at positions 28 to 507 of the family's 1533-position model. The record is from RNAcentral.
GACGAACGCUGGCGGCGUGCUUAACACAUGCAAGUCGAACGGUGAAGGGGUCUGCUUUUGUGGGCCCUGGAUGAGUGGCGAACGGGUGAGUAACACGUGAGUAACCUGCCCCCUUCUUCUGGAUAACCGCAUGAAAGUGUGGCUAAUACGGGAUAUUCUGGGUCUGUCGCAUGAUGGGUCUGGGAAAGAUUGCGCCUUUGGGUGUUUUUGGUGGGGGAUGGGCUCGCGGCCUAUCAGCUUGUUGGUGGGGUGAUGGCCUACCAAGGCGGUGACGGGUAGCCGGCCUGAGAGGGUGGACGGUCACACUGGGACUGAGACACGGCCCAGACUCCUACGGGAGGCAGCAGUGGGGAAUAUUGCACAAUGGGCGCAAGCCUGAUGCAGCGACGCCGCGUGAGGGAUGGAGGCCUUCGGGUUGUAAACCUCUUUCGCCAGUGAAGCAGGCCUGCUCCGUGUGGGUGGGUUGACGGUAGCUGGAUAAGAAGCGCCGACUAACUACGUG